This 138-nucleotide small nucleolar RNA is filed under the name Castor canadensis (American beaver). RNAcentral describes it as "Small nucleolar RNA SNORA29 (ENSCCNG00000018072.1)". It matches the Rfam family "Small nucleolar RNA SNORA29". Rfam says of the family: ACA29 is a member of the H/ACA class of snoRNA that guide the sites of modification of uridines to pseudouridines. The record is from Rfam by way of RNAcentral. Lineage: Eukaryota; Metazoa; Chordata; Mammalia; Rodentia; Castoridae.
UUUCCCAUUUGACUACCACAUUUUCUCCUAAUAGAUUUUAGUGGCUAUGCUUAUGGGAUAGAUUAAAGGUGCCAUGAUCUGAAGAGGGAGGAUUUUUUCAUUGUCCUCCUUCUAUAUGAAAUGGCUGAACAGAAAAUC